RNAcentral lists this ribosomal RNA (674 nucleotides) under uncultured organism. RNAcentral's name for it is "bacterial SSU rRNA". It matches the Rfam family "Bacterial small subunit ribosomal RNA", at positions 535 to 1198 of the family's 1533-position model. The record is from RNAcentral.
CUAGCGUUGUUCGGAAUCAUUGGGCUUAAAGCGGGUGUAGGCGGCUUGUCAAGUGUCUUGUGAAAGCCCACGGCUCAACCGUGGAAUUGCAGGGCAAACUGGCAGGCUUGAGGUCGGUAGGGGUGUCUGGAACUCUAGGUGGAUCGGUGAAAUGCGUAGAUCUCUAGAGGAACGCCAGAGGCGAAAGCGGGGCACUGGGCCGAUUCUGACGCUGAGACCCGAAAGCGUGGGGAGCCAACUGGAUUCGAUACCCUGGUAGUCCAAGCCGUAUAUGAUGCACACUAGACGUCGGAGGUUCUGACGCCAUCGGCAUUGGAGCACAAAGUACCAAGUGUGCCGCCUGGGGAGUACGCCCGCAAGGCCUAAAACUCAAAGGAAUCGACGGGGGCUCACACAAGCGGUGGAGCACGUGGCUUAAUUCGAAGCAACGCGAAGAACCUGACCCAGGUUCGACAUGCUAGGAUGCAAACGGGUAAUGCCGGGCGCUGCCCUUCGGGGUGAAACUAGCACAGCUGUUGCAUGGCUGUCGUCAGCUCGUGCUAUGAAGUCUCGGGUUAAGUCCCAGAACGAGCGAAACCCUUGUCGGUAGUUGCCAGCGGGUCAUGCCGGGGACUCUAGCGAGACUGCCGGCGUUAAGCACGGAGGAAGGUGGGGAUGACGUCAAGUCAUCAUGG